CGGGGAGAACGGGCACCGGAGGCCGGCAGUUGGAGCGGGAGAGGAGGAGGCAGAGCCCGGCGCCGGAGCCGCGGGGGACAGUUGCCAUGGCGGCGGAAGCCAAGUCUCGGCAAUGAGAGCCUCUUCACUGCGCGGAACUGGCGCGCUCGCCUCCCGACCCGAGCGCAGGAAGCGCGGGGAGAGGAGGCGGUCACCGGGACUCCUGGAGAGAGACACCGACGCGCAGAGACACUGGGAGACAGAGAGACAGAGACAGACAGAGACACAGAGAGGAAGAGACAGAGAUGGAGACAUGCAGAGAGACAAAGACAGAAAGAUAAAGAGAGAGUUAGAAAAAGACAGACAGAAAGAGAUGCAGAGAAACAGACGGGAGACAGAGGCAAAAAGAGAUAUGGAGAGACAAAGAGACAGGUGGAGACAUGCAGACUGACAGAGAUAGAAAGAGACAGAGACAGCGACAGAAAGAGAUGUACAGAGAGACACAGAGAAAAAGAGACACAGAGAAGGAGACAUACAGAGAGACACAGAGAUAUGCAGAGACACAGUAACAGAAAAAAAGAGACACAGAGAUAGAAAGAGACACAAAGACAGAAAGAUAUACAGAGAGAUAGAGACACAGAGAUACAAAGAGACAGAGAGAGACACAGACACAGAAAGAGAUAUGUAGAGAGACAGAAACAUAGAAAGAAACACAGAGAUGGAAAGAUAUACAGAGACACAGAGAUAAAGACACAGAGAGAGAAAGAGAUGCAAAGAGACACAGAGACAGAAAGGACAGAGAGAGUAGACACAGGGACAGAAAAAGAUAGUGACUGAGAGAGACAUACAAAGGGGCAGAAGUAGAAAGAGAUCCAGAAACAGAAAGUUACACAGAGACAGAAGGAGACGCAGAGACAGAAAGAGAUAGAGACAGGAGAGACAGAAACAGAGACAAAGUGACGCAAAGAGACACAGAGAGACCCUCGCCCGCGCUCUCACUUCUGGGGUUUUCUUCAACUGGGGCUUGAAACAAAUCAAAGAGAUUUUCCUGCCACACGUUUCGUAGCUGCCAAGACACAGCAGAACAGGUGAAUCGGGGCCCGAAAGAGGCUCGCAGUUUGGCCGGGCUUGAACCUCUGACGCUGGGGCAGUCUCCCUCUCGUGGGAGACCUCUCCUCUGGGGGGAGGGGGAGUGUUGACUAAAAGGCUCUAGUCCCAAAGGAGGAGACAAAGGUCCCCCCCCAGGCCGGGGCUGAGAGAGAACAUCCCAUUGGAUCACAGCCUGAUACCGCUGCUGGACCCCUCGGGGCCAGAAGGUAACCCCUCCCCCGCUGCUGGACCCCUGGGGCCAGAAGGUAACCCCUCCCCCGCUGCUGGACCCCUGGGGCCAGAAGGUAACCCCUCCCCCGCUGCUGGAUCCCUCGGGGCCAGAAGGUAACCCCUCCCCCGCCGCUGGACCCCUGGGGUCCGUGGGCCCCCACAGUUUCAGUGAUAGCUGCGGCUGGCUCACCCCCUUCCCCGACACCGCCACCCCCAGGGCAGGCCGGCCACCCAGACCAGUGGGAUUGCUGCAGGACAGGGCAGGGAGAGCUCUGCCCCCUAGAGUCUCUCUCCCCUCCAGUCCAGCCUCCACCCAGUCCCUAAAACAGCCUUAAAGCACAGGUCCCACGUUACUCUUUCUCUGGAGCCUCCCCUGGCUCCCCAUCACCUUCAGAAUCCAAUGUAGACUCCCCGGUGUCCCUUCCUACCUGCCCCCCGCUUCUGUCAGUGACACUGGCCCCGGCGCUCCGGGAAUGGAACAUUCUGUCUCUCUGCUUGUCUCCAGGCAGACUCUCCUCCUCAGCCCUGCCCGGCCUCCCUGCGAGCCUCCGGCCGAGUCCCGCCUUCCAUGGGAAGCUUUCCCGGAUCCGGCACCGGCCCCCUUCACUCCAGCGCCAUUCGCACUCGGUCCCCACUCUGCCCUUAGCUCCUCCGUGUGUCUCCUUUGGCCCGGAGUUGGGGGGGCAGGGGGUUCUCUGAAGGCCACUACGUCUCCCCUCCCCUGGGGCCUCCGGGAGCCCCCUCUGGUGUUUCUCUAAGGGGGGGCGCGGAGGGGACACAAGGCCAUGCAGUAAAUGGGCGUUCACUAAAUGGGGGCAGAAGUUACCGACAAAAACUGUGGGGAAACCGGGCAGAGUGGCCCGACCCCUACACGGGGUGCCACGGUCAGGGUGCCACGGUCAGGGUGCGGGCACCCCCGGGGGAUGUGAUUUAGCGUCAGAGGCGAUGCCGCGAGCGAACCGGGGAACCGCCACCUGCCGGGCCGUGGGGAAGGAAGAACUUAGCAAACAAGAAGCAGCAGCACGAGACGUGACGGGGAUAAUUUUGAUUAUGUGAAAUUUAAAAGGUUUUGCACAAACAAAACCAAUGCAACAAAACUAGAAGGAAAGCAGAGAACGGGGAGGGGGUUUUACAGCAAAAAAGCCUCAUCUCUCAAAUAGAGGGAAAACUGGGAUUUAUGGGAAGACAAACGGUUCCCAGCUGAUAAAUGGUCAAGAGAUGGGGAACGGGGGCUCUGACGGGAUGCAGCUGGGAGCUGCCGGGGCUUCCCGAGAAGUCUGCGCCAUUUGGGCUGUAACGCCCGGGCCCUUUGGUCCGGCAGGGGCUGUGCCCCGCAGAGAGCACAGGAAUACGGGCCAGCAUUAAGCGGCUGCUUCGUGGCUGAGAACGGGACACUGAGGAGCCGCCCGUGGCAGCUCACGCUGAGGGAGAUGCUUGUGCCGUGAGAAAUGACCAGCAGGAUGCUUUCAGAAGAAUCCAGAGAGACAGAGACGCAGAGUGGAAUGAAGAAAGAACAUUGCAGAGAAGCCGCGACGUCGCCAGGGGAACUGGGGAGGAUUCGCUUUCCUCCCUGAUAAGAUGUUCCAAGAUGAUCCCAAAGGACUCGUGUGAAAAACAUCUGCUUCCGAGAAAGCACUGACGACAUCUGAACGCAGACAGAAGCAGAUUCUUCUUCUCUUCCUCCUCCCUCCCUCCCUCCCUCCCCCCUCCUUUCCUUCCUUCCUUCCUUCCUUCCUUCCUUCCUUCCUUCCUUCCUUCCUUCCUUCCUUCCUUCCUUCCUUCCUUCCUUCCCUGAGCUUUUCUCCACCAAAUAAUGACCGGGGAUACGUUUGAAAUGAUUGCACAUGUACAAAUUCUAUCAGAUUGCUCACUGACAGGAAGAAAAGGAUAGAAUUUGGAUCUCAAGAUUUAAACCCAAAUGUUAACAUGUGUUUUUACAUGUAACUGGGGAAAAGUAAAAUAUUAUUGACAAUAGAA
Molecule: long non-coding RNA, 3276 nt
Organism: Antechinus flavipes (yellow-footed antechinus)
Lineage: Eukaryota; Metazoa; Chordata; Mammalia; Dasyuromorphia; Dasyuridae
Exons: 2
Source: RefSeq, a predicted model, not a curated record